AAAAAAAAAAAAAAAACACCAAUACAGACUUUCUCAGAUAAGGCUGAAAGAUAUGAUUCAUUAAUGCCUGAAAAGUGGCAGGGGCGUUGGUGAGUCCAAAGGGCAUGACAUUAAAUUCAAAAUGUCCAUGAUGAGUUCUGACAGCAGUUUUAGAAAUAUCUUCAGGAUUCAUCCUAAUUUGGUGAUAGCCUGCUCUCAAAUCAAUUUUGGAAAAAUAUUUAGCCACAUCCAAUUUAUCCAACAAGUCAUCAAUAAUGGGAAUAGGGAACUUUUCUUUUACAGUUACAUCAUUCAGUCUUCUGUAAUCUAUACAGAAUCUCCAUGUCCCAUCCUUCUUUUUUACUAACAACACUGGAGAAGAGUAUGGACUGGUGCUAGGCUGAAUGACUGAGGAAGAUAACAUAUCUGCCACCAACUUCUCAAUUUCAGCCUUUUCAAAAUGUGGAUACCUAUAUGGCCUAAUAUUA
Molecule: unclassified non-coding RNA, 467 nt
Filed under: Hevea brasiliensis (rubber tree)
Lineage: Eukaryota; Viridiplantae; Streptophyta; Magnoliopsida; Malpighiales; Euphorbiaceae
Source: RNAcentral